This is a long non-coding RNA of Oryzias latipes (Japanese medaka), 792 nucleotides long. RefSeq lists it as uncharacterized. Lineage: Eukaryota; Metazoa; Chordata; Actinopteri; Beloniformes; Adrianichthyidae. The record is from RefSeq and is a predicted model, not a curated record.
AAAGAGCUGCAACGGAGGGAUAAAAGAGUUUCAUGUGGCUCUGGAGCCUCAGGUUGCAGACCCCCUGCUAUAGUCCAUCACCCUGAUGGAUUCUACUGUUUUGCUCCUCUGGAAGUUCAGUCGACGCCAUUGUAAUUCUCCAGAUGUGCGGACUCCCCUCUGUUCACUGUGUGUCCUGAUUGUGUCCAUUUCCGCAACCGAACAAAAUGCCUGUGUCACAGAUUCCUUCAAUCCUGAUCCUGCUGGCAGGCCAUGUAAAGCAGCAUCUUUGUGUCUGUGGAGGAGACGGGUGCUAUCCACUACAGGGAAAAACAAGAGGAGCAGCCGGAUGAUGCUGUUUUACAAGGCAUCGUGGACAAGAUCAAGGUCCUGCUGACAGUUCUGUGUGUGGAUUUACACUUUAUCCCAAAUUUAAGGGAAGUGGAAGAGCAACAGAAGAUAUUGUAUAGAGUUUUCAUGCUCUAUGCUUGUGUUUUUUGUGCAGAAUGAGGCUAAAGUGACUUAACUUCAAAGUCCCACUCGCACUAUCGUUUUCUAGGACAUCGUUUCUGCAGAGCGGCAGGAGUUCAUUAGACAUUCACCUCUGAGUUGUGGGCAGGACAGUUGGCACGGAAAACCAGAGGAUCAGGAUCUGGACCAGCAUGGAAAACACAUUUGCCUAUACCACCCUCCACCCUGCAGCCUUCUAAAGGCAGCGGGUAGCAGGACAAUAUUUGGGGCAAAAGAUGGGAGCUUAAAAUAUGGAUUUCUGCAAAAAAUAAAAACACAAAGUGUUUCCAUUAAUCAUGCAAA